This 331-nucleotide ribosomal RNA is filed under the name uncultured eukaryote. RNAcentral's name for it is "partial 18S ribosomal RNA". It matches the Rfam family "Eukaryotic small subunit ribosomal RNA", at positions 1470 to 1796 of the family's 1831-position model. The record is from RNAcentral.
CCCUUAGAUGUUCUGGGCCGCACGCGCGCUACACUGUUCGACGCAGCGAGUCUUAACCUUGACCGAAAGGUUUGGGUAAUCUUCAGCAAAGUCGAACGUGAUGGGGAUCGAUCAUUGCAAUUAUUGAUCGUGAACGAGGAAUUCCUAGUAAGUGCAAGUCAUCAGCUUGCGCUGAUUACGUCCCUGCCCUUUGUACACACCGCCCGUCGCUACUACCGAUUGAAUGGUUUAGUGAGAUCUCUGGAUUGACGCUGGCUAGGGGGCGACCCUUGGCCAGGCCGUCGAGAAACUGCUCAAACUUGAUCAUUUAGAGGAAGUAAAAGUCGUAACA